RNAcentral lists this ribosomal RNA (292 nucleotides) under uncultured bacterium. Its description in RNAcentral is "partial 16S ribosomal RNA". It matches the Rfam family "Bacterial small subunit ribosomal RNA", at positions 505 to 796 of the family's 1533-position model. The record is from RNAcentral.
GUGUCAGCCGCCGCGGUAAUACGUAGGGGGCAAGCGUUGUCCGGAAUUAUUGGGCGUAAAGCGCGUGUAGGCGGCUCGGUAAGUCUGCUGUGAAAGUCCAAGGCUCAACCUUGGAAAGCCGGUGGAUACUGUCGAGCUCGAGUCCGGAAGAGGCGAGUGGAAUUCCUGGUGUAGCGGUGAAAUGCGCAGAUAUCAGGAGGAACACCAAUGGCGAAGGCAGCUCGCUGGGACGGUACUGACGCUGAGACGCGAAAGCGUGGGGAGCAAACAGGAUUAGAUACCCUGGUAGUCC